RNAcentral lists this transfer RNA (74 nucleotides) under Trichonephila clavata. Its description in RNAcentral is "tRNA-Ile". It matches the Rfam family "tRNA". From Rfam's summary of the family: Transfer RNA (tRNA) molecules are approximately 80 nucleotides in length. Their secondary structure includes four short double-helical elements and three loops (D, anti-codon, and T loops). The record is from RNAcentral. Lineage: Eukaryota; Metazoa; Arthropoda; Arachnida; Araneae; Nephilidae.
UCCCCAGUGGCGCAACUGGUUAGCGCGCGGUACUUAUAAUGCCGAGGUUGUGAGUUCGAUCCUCAUCUGGGGAA